Molecule: small RNA, 161 nt
Filed under: Chrysemys picta bellii (western painted turtle)
Lineage: Eukaryota; Metazoa; Chordata; Testudines; Emydidae
Description: TUC338 (ENSCPBG00000005709.1)
Source: RNAcentral
CAGUCAGUUUUGGUGACUGAAGCCUUCCUUUUACCCAGAGAACAGGUACAGCAUAGACAGCAGCAGAGUAAGUUUCCCAGUACACCAGCCCUGAGCUGGAGGGAACCUCCUUAGGUUAAGAAAAUAAUUCAGUUUCAAGGUCCAUUCAGCUCUCAGCCCAA